GUCAAGUGAAUAAGCGCAUACGGUGGAUGCCUUGGCGGCAAGAGGCGAUGAAGGACGUGGUAAUCUGCGAUAAGCUUCGGUUAGCUGAUAAACAAGCGUUAAGCCGGAGAUUUCCGAAUGGGGGAACCCACCUCACUUGUGAGGUAUCGUUAACUGAAUACAUAGGUUAACGAGGCGAACCCGGGGAACUGAAACAUCUAAGUACCCGGAGGAAAAGAAAUCAACCGAGAUUCCCUUAGUAGCGGCGAGCGAACGGGGACCAGCCCAUGAAGCCAUUAACGUUCUAGUGGAGCAGUCUGGAAAGUCUGACCAUAGAAGGUGAUAGUCCUGUACACGAAAGGGCGUUUUUGGUGAUCUUGAGUAGGGCGGAGCACGAGAAACUCUGUCUGAAUAUGGGGGGACCAUCCUCCAAGGCUAAAUACUCCUUGCCGACCGAUAGUGAACCAGUACCGUGAGGGAAAGGCGAAAAGAACCCCGGAGAGGGGAGUGAAAUAGAUCCUGAAACCGUAUGCGUACAAGCAGUGGGAGCCUGUCUUCGGACGGGUGACUGCGUACCUUUUGUAUAAUGGGUCAGCGACUUACUUUUAGUGGCAAGCUUAACCGAAUAGGGGAGGCGUAGGGAAACCGAGUCUUAAAUGGGCGUCCAGUCGCUAGGAGUAGACCCGAAACCGGGCGAUCUAUCCAUGGCCAGGGUGAAGGUGGGGUAAUUCCUACUGGAGGCCCGAACCCACUUAUGUUGAAAAAUGAGGGGAUGAGCUGUGGAUCGGAGUGAAAGGCUAAUCAAGCUCGGAGAUAGCUGGUUCUCCUCGAAAGCUAUUUAGGUAGCGCCUCAUGUCUCACUUCCGGGGGUAGAGCACUGUUUCGGCUAGGGGGUCAUCCCGACUUACCAACCCGAUGCAAACUCCGAAUACCGGAAAGUGCAAUCAUGGGAGACACACGGCGGGUGCUAACGUCCGUCGUGGAGAGGGAAACAACCCAGACCGCCAGCUAAGGUCCCAAAAUUACAGUUAAGUGGGAAACGAUGUGGGAAGGCCCAGACAGCCAGGAGGUUGGCUUAGAAGCAGCCACCCUUUAAAGAAAGCGUAAUAGCUCACUGGUCGAGUCGGCCUGCGCGGAAGAUAUAACGGGGCUCAAACUGUAUACCGAAGCUGCGGAUGCAUACUUUCUUCGGAUGGUAUGCAUGGUAGAGGAGCGUUCUGUAAGCCGUUGAAGGUGAACUGUAAGGUUUGCUGGAGGUAUCAGAAGUGCGAAUGCUGACAUGAGUAACGAUAAUGCGGGUGAAAACCCCGCACGCCGAAAACCCAAGGUUUCCUGCGCAACGUCAAUCGGCGCAGGGUAAGUCGGCCCCUAAGGCGAGGCAGAAAUGCGUAGUCGAUGGGAAACAGGUUAAUAUUCCUGUACCUCAUAUUAUUGCGAUGGGGGGACGGAGAAGGCUAGAUCAUCCGGGCGUUGGUUGUCCCGGUUCAAGCGUGUAGGCAGGUGACUUAGGCAAAUCCGGGUCACUCUCUUUAUUGAGAAUGCUGAGGCGUGACGUCGAGCUCUCUUUUGAGCGAAGUGAUUGAUGCCCUGCUUCCAAGAAAAUCCUCUAAGCUUCAGAUAAUGUGAGACCGUACCCCAAACCAACACAGGUGGGUGGGAUGAGAAUUCUAAGGCGCUUGAGAGAACUCGGGUGAAGGAACUAGGCAAAAUGGUACCGUAACUUCGGGAGAAGGUACGCCUCCAUUACGUGAAGAGACUUGCUCUCGGAGCGGAAGGAGGUUGCAAUAAAAUGGUGGCUGCGACUGUUUACUAAAAACAUAGCACUCUGCAAACUCGAAAGAGGACGUAUAGGGUGUGACGCCUGCCCGGUGCCGGAAGGUUAAUUGAUGGGGUUAUCUUCGGAGAAGCUCUUGAUCGAAGCCCCGGUAAACGGCGGCCGUAACUAUAACGGUCCUAAGGUAGCGAAAUUCCUUGUCGGGUAAGUUCCGACCUGCACGAAUGGCGUAACGAUGGCCACACUGUCUCCACCCGAGACUCAGUGAAAUUGAAAUCGCUGUUAAGAUGCAGUGUACCCGCGGCUAGACGGAAAGACCCCGUGAACCUUUACUACAGCUUCACACUGGACUUUGAGCCUGCUUGUGUAGGAUAGGUGGGAGGCAUUGAAACCGAGACGCUAGUUUCGGUGGAGCCACCCUUGAAAUACCACCCUGGCAUGUUUGAGGUUCUAACCUAGGCCCGUUAUCCGGGUCGGGGACAGUGUGUGGUGGGUAGUUUGACUGGGGCGGUCUCCUCCUAAAGAGUAACGGAGGAGCACGAAGGUACCCUCAGCACGGUCGGAAAUCGUGCAAUGAGUGCAAAGGCAUAAGGGUGCUUGACUGCGAGAUAGACACAUCGAGCAGGUACGAAAGUAGGUCUUAGUGAUCCGGUGGUUCUGUAUGGAAGGGCCAUCGCUCAACGGAUAAAAGGUACUCCGGGGAUAACAGGCUGAUUCCUCCCAAGAGUUCACAUCGACGGGGGAGUUUGGCACCUCGAUGUCGGCUCAUCACAUCCUGGGGCUGAAGUCGGUCCCAAGGGUAUGGCUGUUCGCCAUUUAAAGUGGUACGCGAGCUGGGUUUAGAACGUCGUGAGACAGUUCGGUCCCUAUCUGCCGUGGGCGUUUGAGAUUUGAGGGAAGCUGCUCCUAGUACGAGAGGACCGGAGUGGACGAACCCCUGGUGUUCCGGUUGUCACGCCAGUGGCAUUGCCGGGUAGCUACGUUCGGAAGGGAUAACCGCUGAAAGCAUCUAAGCGGGAAGCCCCUCCCAAGAUAAGAUCUCACUGGAGCCUUGAGCUCCCUGAAGGUCCGUUGGAGACUACGACGUUGAUAGGCGGGGUGUGGAAGCGCAGUAAUGCGUGAAGCUAACCCGUACUAAUUGACCGUGAGGCUUGACC
Molecule: ribosomal RNA, 2910 nt
Filed under: marine eukaryotic metagenome
Description: Bacterial large subunit ribosomal RNA
Rfam family: Bacterial large subunit ribosomal RNA
Source: RNAcentral